CUACGGGUCGCUGCAGUGGGGAAUAUUGCACAAUGGAGGAAACUCUGAUGCAGCAACGCCGCGUGGAGGAUGACACUUUUCGGAGCGUAAACUCCUUUUAUAUAGGGAGAUAAUGACGGUACUAUAUGAAUAAGCACCGGCUAACUCCGUGCCAGCAGCCGCGGUAAUACGGAGGGUGCAAGCGUUACUCGGAAUCACUGGGCGUAAAGAGCGUGUAGGCGGAUAGAUAAGUCAGGAGUGAAAUCCUAUGGCUCAACCAUAGAACUGCUCUUGAAACUGUCUAUCUAGAAUAUGGGAGAGGUAGAUGGAAUUUCUGGUGUAGGGGUAAAAUCCGUAGAGAUCAGAAGGAAUACCGAUUGCGAAGGCGAUCUACUGGAACAUUAUUGACGCUGAGACGCGAAAGCGUGGGGAGCAAACAGGAUUAGAUACCCGGGUAGUC
Molecule: ribosomal RNA, 439 nt
Filed under: uncultured bacterium
Lineage: Bacteria
Description: partial 16S ribosomal RNA
Rfam family: Bacterial small subunit ribosomal RNA
Source: RNAcentral